RNAcentral lists this ribosomal RNA (253 nucleotides) under uncultured bacterium. Its description in RNAcentral is "partial 16S ribosomal RNA". It matches the Rfam family "Bacterial small subunit ribosomal RNA", at positions 524 to 776 of the family's 1533-position model. The record is from RNAcentral.
UACAGAGGUCUCAAGCGUUGUUCGGAUUCAUUGGGCGUAAAGGGUGCGUAGGCGGCGCGGUAAGUCGGGUGUGAAAGCUCGGAGCUCAACUCCGAAAUGGCAUUGGAAACUACCUUGCUCGAGGGUUGGAGGGGGGACUGGAAUUCUCGGUGUAGCAGUGAAAUGCGUAGAUAUCGAGAGGAACACCAGUGGCGAAGGCGAGUCCCUGGACAACUCCUGACACUGAGGCACGAAGGUCAGGGGAGCAAACGGG